This 253-nucleotide ribosomal RNA is filed under the name uncultured bacterium. RNAcentral describes it as "partial 16S ribosomal RNA". It matches the Rfam family "Bacterial small subunit ribosomal RNA", at positions 524 to 776 of the family's 1533-position model. The record is from RNAcentral.
UACGUAGGGUGCAAGCGUUGUCCGGAAUUAUUGGGCGUAAAGAGCUCGUAGGCGGUCUGUCGCGUCGGCUGUGAAAACUCGGGGCUCAACCCCGAGCCUGCAGUCGAUACGGGCAGACUAGAGUGCUGUAGGGGAGACUGGAAUUCCUGGUGUAGCGGUGAAAUGCGCAGAUAUCAGGAGGAACACCGGUGGCGAAGGCGGGUCUCUGGGCCGGUACCGACGCUGAGGAGCGAAAGCGUGGGGAGCGAACAGG